GACGGAGGAUGCAAGCGUUAUCCGGAAUGAUUGGGCGUAAAGCGUCCGCAGGUGGCAGUUCAAGUCUGCUGUCAAAGACCGGGGCUUAACUUCGGAAAGGCAGUGGAAACUGAACAGCUAGAGUAUGGUAGGGGCAGAGGGAAUUCCUGGUGUAGCGGUGAAAUGCGUAGGUAUCAGGAAGAACAUCGGUGGCGAAGGCGCUCUGCUGGACCAUAACUGACACUCAGGGACGAAAGCUAGGGGAGCGAAUGGG
This 253-nucleotide ribosomal RNA is filed under the name uncultured bacterium. RNAcentral's name for it is "partial 16S ribosomal RNA". It matches the Rfam family "Bacterial small subunit ribosomal RNA", at positions 524 to 776 of the family's 1533-position model. The record is from RNAcentral.